AGGCCACAGACUGGGAGAAAAUAUUUGCAAAACACACAUCAAAACACUGACUUGCACCCAGAACAUACAGAGAACUCUUAAAAACUCAAAACUGCAAAAAGAAACACCUAAAAUUUGGCAAAAGAGUUGACAAUUUGCGAAGGGGAUAUACACAUGGCGAAAAAGCACAGGAAAAGAUGCUCAACGCCAUUACAGGUUAGGGAAGACAAACUACAACCAGGAUGAGGGCCCGAAACACAUGGCUUCAGAAUGGUGAAACUCAGCAACACUGACAAGGCCACGUGCCUGGGAGGAUGCAGAGGAACUGGGACACUCCAGUGUUACUGGCGGGAAGGCAGGUGGUACGGGCACUGUAGAAAAUGGUUUGGCCAUCUCUGAUGCAGUUAAAAGUGCACUUACCGUGGGACUUGGCUGCCCCACUCCUGGGUAUAAGAUUUACCCCCAGAGAAGUGAAAGCGCGCAGCCUUGUAGAAACCCACACACCAGUGUUUGUAGCAGUCUUGUUUGCAUUUUGGAUAGCGGCCUUGUUUGGUUUUCACAAACCACCCUCAGCGGACAGUCAGAUAAACUGUAGGCAUCCAUACAAUGGAAUACCACUCAGAACUGAGAGGGAACGACCUGUGGAUACAGGGAGGGAACAACUUGGGUGAAUCUCAUUAGAGACAUUAUGUGGAUGGCGGGAAGCCAGUCUCAACAGGUUACUUGUCUCGCGAUGCCAUCUACAUAAAGUUCCAGCAGAGACAAAAGUACAGUGACAGAGAACAGAUCAGUGUUUGCCGGGGCUAAUGGUGGGGACGGUGUGAUAGUGAAGGGACAGCACGGAGAGUUUUGCAGGGUGACAGACCUCUUCUGCAUCCUGCCAACGGCUGUGCGAAUCUACUUGUGUGAAGACUCAGGGAACUCACACCAAAGGAAGCGGUCACUUUUCCUACUGUAUGAUAGAUAAUUAAUAAAAAGGGAGAACGGAGGAGUGUCGUCCCAGGAGGCAGGGCAGGAGGGCGAAGACGUGUCACAGGGGAGCCUGGCCAAGUGGCGCCCCCGGAACUCAUCCUCUGGGCUUGUGUGUGGAUGAGACAAGGUCUACCUGGUACGACAGGGACAUACUGGGAAUGCGCCCUUGCCGUGGAGGCGGGGACCCGGCAGCGCUACGUAUCCAGCAUCACCCUGUAUCCAGCAUCAACCCGCCAAGUUCACUAACUUGGUAGGGGUGAGGUUAGGGAUCCUUAGGAGCCCAGGCAGCCAGACUUUCUGGGGAGCCCAUUCCCAUUUGUGUUGCCAAAGUACCCCCAGCAGGUUGUGGGAAUGUUGCCUGUGAAGAGAGUCUGUUGGGGUGAGAUCUUGUGUGUGUGCACAGGGUGACAGUUGUGUCCCAUUUCCCGGGAAGCUGUGAUGGCAGCAGAACCUAGAGGAGCCUGAGAGAGUGUGGGAGAGUGGGCCUCUGGAAGAGUAGAGGCUGCGGAGCCAGGUGCAGGGCUGUCUGUCACCCAAAGGAAGAGGGACUGAUGACUCACUGAGCGUGUGUGUCCCCUGGUGGCAGCAGGCCCCAUAGUGAACAUACCAUACCUUUUCUGUCCUGAGCGAUGCUCCCAGCAGUCCUGGGAGAUGGAACGGUCCUUAUUCGGCUCACGGGAAGGACCGCCUUAACUGGACAGACACAGCAAGGUGCUAAAGAUGCCUUCCAUCAGAGGCCAGGUUGGAAGCUCUAAAGAGACUUCUCUUGCUGUUCUCUCACCCACCCCCAGGUUGUGUGUGUCCCGCUGUGGAUUCUCAUGUCCUUUCUGUGCCUGGUGGUCCUCUACUACAUUGUGUGGUCCGUCUUGUUCUUGCGCUCUAUGGAUGUGAUUGCGGAGCAGCGCAGGACACACAUAACCAUGGCCCUGAGCUGGAUGACCAUCGUCGUGCCCCUUCUUACAUUUGAGAUUCUGCUGGUUCACAAACUGGAUGGCCACAACGCCUUCUCCUGCAUCCCGAUCUUUGUCCCCCUUUGGCUCUCGUUGAUCACGCUGAUGGCAACCACAUUUGGACAGAAGGGAGGAAACCACUGGUGGUUUGGUAUCCGCAAAGAUUUCUGUCAGUUUCUGCUUGAAAUCUUCCCAUUUCUACGAGAAUAUGGAAACAUUUCCUAUGAUCUCCAUCACGAAGAUAAUGAAGAAACCGAAGAGACCCCAGUUCCGGAGCCCCCUAAAAUCGCACCCAUGUUUCGAAAGAAGGCCAGGGUGGUCAUUACCCAGAGCCCUGGGAAGUAUGUGCUCCCACCUCCCAAAUUAAAUAUCGAAAUGCCAGAUUAGAUGCCACUUCCGGGGACAGAGCUUAAGUGGACUGGGACGCACUCUCUCCGCCUUCCUCUGCCCCCUCGUUCACCCCGCAGACCAGAACCAGUACUGGAGCUGGGUCUCCAGGUACGUCCAUCUCAUGCCUUGUUUGCAUCCAGCGCCUAUCAGCCACUCACCACGACGGGACGCGGAAGUGGCAGGUGACGGGGGUGUGUGCCAGCAGAUGCAGAUGCCAGGAAGAGUGUCAGAACAGGGGUGGGAUUACCAUCUGUCUGGGAGGGCCUCCAGGUACCCCUCUUCCCCGUCAGACCCACUGGGAGAUGGCUGCUUGCCAGGCCCCCAGAAGGAACAUCUGUCUAUACGGUGCUGAAAUCCCAAUCAAAAGUAUUGUUUAGAAAUGUAUUUCUCCACAGGGCUGACCUCCUGCAGCUCGCUCAGCACUCCCAGGUCGUGGCUGGGGCAGUCAGUAGGAACUGUAACUAUGUCUCUGAUGCACCACGUGUUUAGACACAGCACAGUCCUUUUUUCUGUUCCUACUGUGGAAGUAGUUUCUCUUUGGGCAUGCUGACAGCAGUUUUUCAUAGCCUCACCGAUGAGCCCUUUCUACGGGAGUGACUCCAUGCUUGUAUACAGAGUAUUUAUACAAAUGUUUUAGCAUCUUCAUAUGUGGUGUUAAACCCUAGUUCUGUACAGCAUAUUCUGUUCAAGUAUUUUUUUACAAGCUUGUGCUGUAGGCACAUGCCUUCUGCUGCAGAAGUGGACGCCCGUGGCACACUCCCCCCCUCCCGUGGGGUGCCACGCCUUCAUGGGACAUUGCCACUUCUGCCCUGGAACUCAUGCAGGUACGUAGUAGCUGCUACUGCCAGAACGGCAACACCAAGCAAGAGAUGGUCCAUGCUUUUCUGACGUUCUCAGAAUAGUGGCUAGCUUCGAACCUGACAAGCGCUGCUUGAAGCCGGAACACUAGAGAAUGUUGCUGAGAGCAGAAACGGCCACGCGGGUCACGACUAUGCGUGGGAAAGUCUCAAGCUUCCCUCCUGCCAGCAACAAGAAGGCUUUGGAGUAGGCAUGAUGUUUUCACGUGUGCGUGCCGUUUCUCCAAGCACUGCAGGUUCCACCGUGUGUCAGAGGCUGCAAGUUUAACAUCCUCCUGCCUGAAAACAAAUAGGUCCUUUGCUGAAAAGAGGGUAAAAAAAGAGCUUUGAUCUUCUCAGCCAGGAGAAGAGGGUGGUGUUUUCACGCGGGCAACUGCUCGCCGGCCUACAUGGGGUUAAUUCAAGUCUGCUGCGAGCACGACUCCGCCCUUGGCACUGGCCUCCAGCAAGCCCUGUUCUCUUUGGGGUAUAGGGGAACGGGAUGGUUUAGCCUUUCCUGCUCAGUGUGUGAAAAAUGUAGCUAAUGCCACUAUUUUUGCUCUCUUAAGCUGUUCAAUAAACCGGUUCCUCAUUUUA
Molecule: small RNA, 3724 nt
Filed under: Pan troglodytes (chimpanzee)
Lineage: Eukaryota; Metazoa; Chordata; Mammalia; Primates; Hominidae
Description: retained intron
Source: RNAcentral